RNA transcript from Carassius carassius (crucian carp), 2482 nucleotides. It is a transcript of the gene named protein prenyltransferase alpha subunit repeat-containing protein 1, with no coding region annotated. The record is from RefSeq and is a predicted model, not a curated record. The transcript is spliced from 8 exons. Lineage: Eukaryota; Metazoa; Chordata; Actinopteri; Cypriniformes; Cyprinidae.
UGUGAAAUGUCCCGGAUUAGGUUGAGUCACCCGCGGUGACGUCACACGCGCUAUGAAAAUGGCUGAGUCGGAAGAGGAGGUGGAUGUCUUGGUCCAGAGAGUUGUGAAAGACAUCAAUAAUGCCUUUAAAAGAAACCCGAACAUUGAUGAAAUUGGCCUCAUUCCGUGCCCCGAAGCCCGGUACAACAGAAGCCCCAUAGUCUUGGUGGAGAAUAAGCUUGGAGUGGAGAGCUGGUGUGUCAAGUUUUUGCUGCCCUAUGUGCAUAAUAAACUCCUGCUGUACAGACAGAGAAAGCAGUGGCUCGAUCGGGAAGCACUGGUAGAUAUAACCUGCACAUUGCUUCUCCUAAACCCAGAUUUCACCACUGCGUGGAAUGUCAGGAAAGAGCUCCUGCAAUGUGGCAUGUUAAACCCAGAGAAAGACCUUUACCUGGGAAAACUUGCACUAUCUAAGCAUCCUAAAAGCCCAGAGACAUGGAUACACAGGCGCUGGGUGUUACAGUGGCUGCAGAAGGAGUGCUCUCCUUCUGGACAAGAACCAAAGGAUCAGGCUGAACCCAGAGGAGACGCUGUGAGUAGGAGACGUUGCGAGCGGCUGCAAAGAGCCUUGCAGGAGGAGAUGAGGGUCUGUGCAGACGCAGCUGGCCGUUACCCCAGUAACUACAAUGCAUGGUCCCAUCGCAUCUGGGUGUUGCAAAACUUGGCUAAAGGCAGUCUAAAGGUUCUACACGAUGAGCUGUCCUCCACCCGACUGUGGGUGUCCAUGCACGUGUCAGAUCACAGCGGCUUUCACUACCGUCAACACCUGCUCAAGGCCCUGGUAAGAGAGCUGAGCCAGGUUGGAGAGACGGAGCUCCACCCAACCCAGCAGCCUAAUGGAGAGAGCACAGCAGACAUGUCUGAAGGCAGUCACCAUAAUGACAUCAUCCCUCAGCUCUUCCACGAGGAGAUGGAGCUCUGCACUGAUCUCAUAAAGUCAUAUCCAGGCCACGAGACGCUGUGGUGCCACAGGCGACAUGUCUUCUACCUGUGGCAUCAGUGGCGGAGGGAGCACCUCCAGGGGGCAGGGUCACAAUCUCCACCUCUCACCCAUAUUGACGUCCUCCUCAGUGAGGAGCCCUGUGAUGAAGCCAGUGCUUCCCAGGCCAUGGAUGUUGACUGUGUUCUGGAUGGGCGCAAACACGGAAGCUACACGCAGGACACCAAGCGACUAAAGCGGGGACCCCUGCUUCCCCACCCCUUACUUCCCUCGGAGCACACGUUUGUCUCCAGAAUCCUCACAGGCUGCCGGAGCCCCGAGCAAAGCCACUUUGCCAUAGCCUACAGGAAGUGGCUAGACUCAGUUAUAGGUCAGUAGCAUGAGAAACACUCCACCCAACAUGAUGUGGGAGAGCUGUGAUAGGUCAACUUAUUUCUGGCUUCAACCGCCCACACACACUUCUCUGAAAACGGCUGGACUUCUUGGCCGGUUUGUCAGAGAUGGUCUGCCGGAGCAAAUUCCCGCUCAUGAUGAAAACCCAUGACCCGUCUCAGCUGCUUUAGUUCAGGGUCAGCAUUUCUUCAGUUCAUGGAGAUGAUUCUUGGGCGUUUGAGAAUAAAUGUUCCUAAAGCUCAUCAUCAUCUUCACUCAUUAGAAUAACAAAGGCCACGUUGUCACAUGGACUAUGAUGGAGCACAAGUUUUGGGUUGUUGUUCAUCCAAGUGGUCUCACAGACGCAUGGGUUUUCAUGAUGAAAGGGAAUUGCAGAAGUAGGAAUAGGCUAUUCUCAGCUUGGGCAAGCGCGGCUGCAGAAAUAACACGCUGCCACGUCCAAGCCCAUCUGGUGCAGAAUGGUGCUUAUUCUCUGCGCCGGGGGAGUGUGGACCCCUGAGGGGGCCUGGGUUUACAAAUGCUGCUUUUUGUUUAACACUAUUUUGAACUUAAAAGUAUAUUUAUGCAAAUAUAAAAAGUGAAUUGAUGUUAGCUUCACUUAUGUGAUUUAUUAAAGCUAAUAAGCUAUUAGACCAUUAUGGUUGACUCACUGUUACUCAGUACUUAAUCAACUUGUAAUAAACUUUGAAGUUUCACACGCUCAAUCGUGCACUGACAACUUAAUUUAUUCACAGUUUAGAGUAGGCUGUGAAAAUCUGAUUAGAUUUUAUUAGAUCUUGCUCUUAAAUCAAGGACACUGCCCAUACUACAUAUGCAAAAACUAGUUAGUUGAAGUAAUUUUAACAUUCUAGCAAAGCUUAUAUGAAUCAUGUCUUUCAGCAUAUCCAUACGACUUGCACAGUUCGAUCUCAAGUUUCACUUCAUAAAAGUCUAUUACUGUUCUUUGUGUUUUUUUUUUUUGCACAGUUGCACAAGAACUAGAUUUAUGAAAGUAGUUGAGUUAUGUAACUUCUAGACUUACUCUCAGACUUUAUAAAGGGCCAUGUCAGAGUGGUUUUCUCUGUUCCUGCAUGACUUGGACUCUGACGUUUUUUUUUUUUGGCUGUAGCA